RNAcentral lists this ribosomal RNA (292 nucleotides) under uncultured bacterium. Its description in RNAcentral is "partial 16S ribosomal RNA". It matches the Rfam family "Bacterial small subunit ribosomal RNA", at positions 505 to 796 of the family's 1533-position model. The record is from RNAcentral.
GUGUCAGCAGCCGCGGUAAUACAGAGGUCUCAAGCGUUGUUCGGAUUCAUUGGGCGUAAAGGGUGCGUAGGCGGCAGCGCAAGUCAGGUGUGAAAUCCCGGGGCUCAACCCCGGAACUGCACUUGAUACUGCGUUGCUAGAGUACUGGAGAGGAGACUGGAAUUUACGGUGUAGCAGUGAAAUGCGUAGAUAUCGUAAGGAAGACCAGUGGCGAAGGCGAGUCUCUGGACAGUUACUGACGCUGAGGCACGAAGGCCAGGGGAGCAAACGGGAUUAGAUACCCCAGUAGUCC